UCAGCUCCAACUCCUCCCCCGACAGGCUCGAUCCCACUUCCUCAGGACCCAAACCCAUUCCCACAGAAGAACGAAAUAAAAGUUAAAAGCGGAAAAUGGAAGCUGGGGAGGAGAAGAAAAGAGGAAACCCUAGUGAAAACAGGGUGAAAACCUACUGGACAUCGCCGGAAAUCGCUCCGGGCACCGACGGCAAGGUUCGGUUGAGGAAGGAAGUAAGGGAGAAAGAUAACGAAAAUGAGAAGCAGCCAAACAAGACCUUUAGGGCAACCUCGAGGGGUUUAUAUAGACCCCCCUGACAGCCCAGAUCGACGGGGUCGGUUCCCAUCCCCCGAUCGCGUUGCGCCACGUGUCGACCUCGGAAGCCGAGGCACC
RNAcentral lists this long non-coding RNA (372 nucleotides) under Phoenix dactylifera (date palm). RNAcentral describes it as "long non-coding RNA (PDAC_LNC002577)". The record is from RNAcentral. Lineage: Eukaryota; Viridiplantae; Streptophyta; Magnoliopsida; Arecales; Arecaceae.